UCUCCGUUGGUGAACCAGCGGAGGGAUCAUUACCGAGUUUACAACUCCCAAACCCAAUGUGAACCAUACCAAACUGUUGCCUCGGCGGGGUCACGCCCCGGGUGCGUCGCAGCCCCGGAACCAGGCGCCCGCCGGAGGGACCAACCAAACUCUUUCUGUAGUCCCCUCGCGGACGUUAUUCUUACAGCUCCGAGCAAAAAUUCAAAAUGAAUCAAAACUUUCAACAACGGAUCUCUUGGUUCUG
RNAcentral lists this unclassified non-coding RNA (244 nucleotides) under plant metagenome. RNAcentral describes it as "partial contains small subunit ribosomal RNA, internal transcribed spacer 1, and 5.8S ribosomal RNA". The record is from RNAcentral.